RNAcentral lists this long non-coding RNA (767 nucleotides) under Brachypodium distachyon (stiff brome). RNAcentral's name for it is "long non-coding RNA (BDIS_LNC005723)". Lineage: Eukaryota; Viridiplantae; Streptophyta; Magnoliopsida; Poales; Poaceae. The record is from RNAcentral.
GCUAUCUGUAAUGAAAAGGACGGGCAGAAGGGGAGGGCUGACGGUGGUGAUUGGACAAAGCACAGGGGAGGAGGAGGCUGAGGUCAUUUUACCUGCCUGCCGCUGAUACACAUCCAUCCAUAUGUUCUGAUCAAUCAUCAGGGAUUAUUUAUUAUUAUACUCUGGUGCAGUUGCUUGCAGCUAAAAAUCACCGAGUCGAAGGACGCAAUUUAACAGUCGAGUGUGCUAGGCAGGAGUAUAUGACAUGACCAUUUGCGUUUCUUGGUUUUCAUCGCUUUGGGGCACCAGCACGGUGCGUUCGCGAAUGGUGCUGCAGGUGAUUUAUACGUAUUUUCAGGGAGCUUCAGCGAUUCCUUCCUUCAUUAGAUAAAGAUUUUGGUUUUGCUAUGGGAAAGUUGCCUGUUUUUUUUGUUAGAGAUCAGUUGACGUGCUGGCUACCCAACAACAGCAUGUGGAAGAGAAGAGAGCGGGGAUGGCACCCAUAUCUUAAUCCAACAAUUUCGGUGCGUCGGCUGAGAUUUAAGCACUUUGCUUCAAAAUCAAGCGCCUGAGACAUAGCUAUAUCUUAAAAAAUUUAGGACAUAUCUUGAGUUUGCUAAAGAAACCAGCGGUAAUAAAAGGGAAGCAAUAUUGAGAUAUCAUGAUCCUUCGAGGACGGGAUUUGAAAAGAGACCAAAUGUCUUAAAAAAUGCGCAAUAUUACAAUAAAAUCAUAAAAUAUUUGCAAAGUCUAAAAAAGUGAAAUAUGAUAAUAUGGAUGUGUGUGCU